GUGUCCAUAAAUCUAUAGAUAACAGGUAGUUACGAUUUACGCCGAUUUACGCCUAAAUCUGAUUGUGCCCUCCGAAGGCAGGGGUCACAGGUUCGAAUCCUGUCGGGCGCG
This 111-nucleotide transfer RNA is filed under the name Gammaproteobacteria bacterium. RNAcentral describes it as "tRNA-Arg". The record is from RNAcentral. Lineage: Bacteria; Pseudomonadati; Pseudomonadota; Gammaproteobacteria.